This 465-nucleotide ribosomal RNA is filed under the name uncultured bacterium. Its description in RNAcentral is "partial 16S ribosomal RNA". It matches the Rfam family "Bacterial small subunit ribosomal RNA", at positions 338 to 795 of the family's 1533-position model. The record is from RNAcentral.
CCUACGGGUGGCAGCAGUGGGGAAUAUUGCGCAAUGGGCGAAAGCCUGACGCAGCGACGCCGCGUGAGGGAUGAAGGUCUUCGGAUCGUAAACCUCUGUCAGCAGGGAAGAACGGUCACUGUGCUAAUCAGCAGUGAAUUGACGGUACCUGCAAAGGAAGCACCGGCUAACUCCGUGCCAGCAGCCGCGGUAAUACGGAGGGUGCGAGCGUUAAUCGGAAUUACUGGGCGUAAAGCGCUCGUAGGCGGUAUGUCAAGUCAAGGGGGAAAUCCCCGCGCUCAACGUGGGAACUGCCAUUGAAACUGGCAAACUGGAGUGUGUGAGAGGAUAGUGGAAUUCCAGGGGUAGGAGUGAAAUCCGUAGAUAUCUGGAGGAACAUCAGUGGCGAAGGCGACUAUCUGGCACAUAACUGACGCUGAGGAGCGAAAGCGUGGGUAGCAAACAGGAUUAGAUACCCCAGUAGUC